GAGUGGCGAACGGGUGAGUAACACGUGGGUAACCUGCCCAUCAGAAGGGGAUAACACUUGGAAACAGGUGCUAAUACCGUAUAACAAUCGAAACCGCAUGGUUUUGAUUUGAAAGGCGCUUUCGGGUGUCGCUGAUGGAUGGACCCGCGGUGCAUUAGCUAGUUGGUGAGGUAACGGCUCACCAAGGCCACGAUGCAUAGCCGACCUGAGAGGGUGAUCGGCCACAUUGGGACUGAGACACGGCCCAAACUCCUACGGGAGGCAGCAGUGGGGAAUAUUGCACAAUGGGGGAAACCCUGAUGCAGCGACGCCGCGUGAGCGAAGAAGUAUUUCGGUAUGUAAAGCUCUAUCAGCAGGGAAGAAGAAUGACGGUACCUGACUAAGAAGCACCGGCUAAAUACGUGCCAGCAGCCGCGGUAAUACGUAUGGUGCAAGCGUUAUCCGGAUCUACUGGGUGUAAAGGGAGCGCAGGCGGUGCGGCAAGUCUGAUGUGAAAGCCCGGGGCUCAACCCCGGUACUGCAUUGGAAACUGUCGUACUAGAGUGUCGGAGGGGUAAGCGGAAUUCCUAGUGUAGCGGUGAAAUGCGUAGAUAUUAGGAAGAACACCAGUGGCGAAGGCGGCUUACUGGACGGUAACUGACGUUGAGGCUCGAAAGCGUGGGGAGCAAACAGG
Molecule: ribosomal RNA, 673 nt
Filed under: uncultured Lachnospiraceae bacterium
Lineage: Bacteria; Bacillati; Bacillota; Clostridia; Lachnospirales; Lachnospiraceae
Description: bacterial SSU rRNA
Rfam family: Bacterial small subunit ribosomal RNA
Source: RNAcentral